GUUAAUGGCCAUGGUGCCCUGAAUGUACCUGAUCUUGUUUGAAAGCUAAGCAGGGUAAGGCCUGGCUAGUACUUGGAUGAAUAAAGUGUUUUAACU
RNAcentral lists this ribosomal RNA (96 nucleotides) under Mesocricetus auratus (golden hamster). Lineage: Eukaryota; Metazoa; Chordata; Mammalia; Rodentia; Cricetidae. The record is from RNAcentral.